Molecule: ribosomal RNA, 498 nt
Filed under: Shigella sonnei
Lineage: Bacteria; Pseudomonadati; Pseudomonadota; Gammaproteobacteria; Enterobacterales; Enterobacteriaceae
Description: partial 23S ribosomal RNA
Rfam family: Bacterial large subunit ribosomal RNA
Source: RNAcentral
GGGUUGUGAGGUUAAGCGACUAAGCGUACACGGUGGAUGCCCUGGCAGUCAGAGGCGAUGAAGGACGUGCUAAUCUGCGAUAAGCGUCGGUAAGGUGAUAUGAACCGUUAUAACCGGCGAUUUCCGAAUGGGGAAACCCAGUGUGAUUCGUCACACUAUCAUUAACUGAAUCCAUAGGUUAAUGAGGCGAACCGGGGGAACUGAAACAUCUAAGUACCCCGAGGAAAAGAAAUCAACCGAGAUUCCCCCAGUAGCGGCGAGCGAACGGGGAGCAGCCCAGAGCCUGAAUCAGUGUGUGUGUUAGUGGAAGCGUCUGGAAAGGCGCGCGAUACAGGGUGACAGCCCCGUACACAAAAAUACACAUAUUGUGAGCUCGAUGAGUAGGGCGGGACACGUGGUAUCCUGUCUGAAUAUGGGGGGACCAUCCUCCAAGGCUAAAUACUCCUGACUGACCGAUAGUGAACCAGUACCGUGAGGGAAAGGCGAAAAGAACCCCGG